Molecule: transfer RNA, 87 nt
Filed under: Puccinia triticina 1-1 BBBD Race 1
Lineage: Eukaryota; Fungi; Basidiomycota; Pucciniomycetes; Pucciniales; Pucciniaceae
Description: Puccinia triticina tRNA PTTG_20471
Rfam family: tRNA
About the family: Transfer RNA (tRNA) molecules are approximately 80 nucleotides in length.
Source: Rfam by way of RNAcentral
GGCACUGUAGCUCAGUUGGUAGAGCACAUGCUUAACAUCCUGUGGGAUGAUCGCAUGUUGUCGUCGGUUCGAGCCCGGCCAGAGUCA